GGCCGGUUAGCUACGUUGGUUAGAGCGUGGUGCUGAUAACACCAAGGUCGCGGGUUCAAUUCCUGCUCGGUCC
RNAcentral lists this transfer RNA (73 nucleotides) under Apaloderma vittatum (bar-tailed trogon). It matches the Rfam family "tRNA". Rfam says of the family: Transfer RNA (tRNA) molecules are approximately 80 nucleotides in length. Their secondary structure includes four short double-helical elements and three loops (D, anti-codon, and T loops). Lineage: Eukaryota; Metazoa; Chordata; Aves; Trogoniformes; Trogonidae. The record is from Rfam by way of RNAcentral.